CUUUGUUGCCAGCGGUUAGGCCGGGAACUCAAAGGAGACUGCCAGUGAUAAACUGGAGGAAGGUGGGGAUGACGUCAAGUCAUCAUGGCCCUUACGACCAGGGCUACACACGUGCUACAAUGGCGCAUACAAAGAGAAGCGACCUCGCGAGAGCAAGCGGACCUCAUAAAGUGCGUCGUAGUCCGGAUUGGAGUCUGCAACUCGACUCCAUGAAGUCGGAAUCGCUAGUAAUCGUGGAUCAGAAUGCCACGGUGAAUACGUUCCCGGGCCUUGUACACACCGCCCGUCACACCAUGGGAGUGGGUUGCAAAAGAAGUAGGUAGCUUAACCUUCGGGAGGGCGCUUACCACUUUGUGAUUCAUGACUGGGGUGAAGUCGUAACAAGGUAACCGUAGGGGAACCUGCGGUUGGAUCACCUCCUUACCUGAAAGAA
Molecule: ribosomal RNA, 433 nt
Filed under: Salmonella enterica subsp. salamae serovar 48:d:z6
Lineage: Bacteria; Pseudomonadati; Pseudomonadota; Gammaproteobacteria; Enterobacterales; Enterobacteriaceae
Description: bacterial SSU rRNA
Rfam family: Bacterial small subunit ribosomal RNA
Source: RNAcentral